GGUCUGGAACUGAGUGUUGGGGUUAGAGAAGGGAGAGGGUCUGGAACUGAGUGUUGGGGUUAGAGAGAGGAGAGGGUCUGGAACUGAGUGUUGGGGUUAGAGAGAGGAGAGGGUCUGGAACUGAGUGUUGGGGUUAGAGAAGGGAGAGGGUCUGGAACUGAGUGUUGGGGUUAGAGAGAGGAGAGGGUCUGGAACUGAGUGUUGGGGUUAGAGAAGGGAGAGGGUCUGGAACUGAGUGUUGGGGUUAGAGACAGGAGAGGAG
Non-coding RNA from Salmo salar (Atlantic salmon), 262 nucleotides. The record is from RefSeq and is a predicted model, not a curated record. Lineage: Eukaryota; Metazoa; Chordata; Actinopteri; Salmoniformes; Salmonidae.